This 57-nucleotide ribosomal RNA is filed under the name Alternaria eichhorniae. RNAcentral describes it as "partial 28S ribosomal RNA". Lineage: Eukaryota; Fungi; Ascomycota; Dothideomycetes; Pleosporales; Pleosporaceae. The record is from RNAcentral.
UUUUGACCUCGGAUCAGGUAGGGAUACCCGCUGAACUUAAGCAUAUCAAUAAGGCGG